This 373-nucleotide ribosomal RNA is filed under the name uncultured bacterium. Its description in RNAcentral is "bacterial SSU rRNA". It matches the Rfam family "Bacterial small subunit ribosomal RNA", at positions 525 to 896 of the family's 1533-position model. The record is from RNAcentral.
ACGUAGGGUGCGAGCGUUAAUCGGAAUUACUGGGCGUAAAGCGUGCGCAGGCGGUUUUGUAAGUCAGAUGUGAAAGCCCCGGGCUCAACCUGGGAACUGCGUUUGAAACUACAAGGCUAGAGUGUAGCAGAGGGGGGUAGAAUUCCACGUGUAGCAGUGAAAUGCGUAGAGAUGUGGAGGAAUACCGAUGGCGAAGGCAGCCCCCUGGGUUAACACUGACGCUCAUGUACGAAAGCGUGGGGAGCAAACAGGAUUAGAUACCCUGGUAGUCCACGCCCUAAACGAUGUCAACUAGUUGUCGGGAGAGGAGACUUUCUUGGUAACGCAGCUAACGCGUGAAGUUGACCGCCUGGGGAGUACGGUCGCAAGAUUA